Molecule: ribosomal RNA, 245 nt
Filed under: uncultured bacterium
Lineage: Bacteria
Description: partial 16S ribosomal RNA
Rfam family: Bacterial small subunit ribosomal RNA
Source: RNAcentral
GACAGGGGAUGCAAGCGUUACUCGGAAUUACUGGGCGUAAAGCGUCUGCAGGCGUCUCUCCACGUCUGGUGUCAAAUGGCAGAGCUCAACUCUGUCAACGUGCCGGAAACGAGAGAGAUCGAGUCACUCAGAGGCAUCUGGAAUGUCGUGUGUAGGGGUAAAAUCCGUUGAUCCACGAUGGAACGCCGAAAGCGAAGGCAGGAUGCUGGGGGUGUACUGACGCUCAGAGACGAAAGCGUGGGGAG